GCCUACGGGAGGCAGCAGGGGGAAUAUUGCACAAUGGGCGAAAGCCUGAUGCAGCUAUGCCGCGUGUAUGAAGAAGGCCUUAGGGUUGUAAAGUACUUUCAGCAGGGAGGAAAGAAGUAAAACUAAUAAUUUUAUUUUGUGACGUUACCUGCAGAAGAAGCACCGGCUAACUCCGUGCCAGCAGCCGCGGUAAU
RNAcentral lists this ribosomal RNA (194 nucleotides) under uncultured bacterium. RNAcentral describes it as "partial 16S ribosomal RNA". It matches the Rfam family "Bacterial small subunit ribosomal RNA", at positions 337 to 524 of the family's 1533-position model. The record is from RNAcentral.